This 460-nucleotide ribosomal RNA is filed under the name uncultured bacterium. RNAcentral describes it as "partial 16S ribosomal RNA". It matches the Rfam family "Bacterial small subunit ribosomal RNA", at positions 338 to 795 of the family's 1533-position model. The record is from RNAcentral.
CCUACGGGAGGCAGCAGUGAGGAAUAUUGGUCAAUGGACGAGAGUCUGAACCAGCCAAGUAGCGUGAAGGAUGACUGCCCUAUGGGUUGUAAACUUCUUUUAUAUGGGAAUAAAACGUUCCACGUGUGGGAUUUUGUAUGUACCAUAUGAAUAAGGAUCGGCUAACUCCGUGCCAGCAGCCGCGGUAAUACGGAGGAUCCGAGCGUUAUCCGGAUUUAUUGGGUUUAAAGGGAGCGUAGGUGGAUUGUUAAGUCAGUUGUGAAAGUUUGCGGCUCAACCGUAAAAUUGCAGUUGAAACUGGCAGACUUGAGUACAGUAGAGGUGUGCGGAAUUCGUGGUGUAGCGGUGAAAUGCUUAGAUAUCACGAAGAACUCCGAUUGCGAAGGCAGCUCACUGGACUGCAACUGACACUGAGGCUCGAAAGUGUGGGUAUCAAACAGGAUUAGAUACCCCAGUAGUC